This 863-nucleotide small RNA is filed under the name Pan troglodytes (chimpanzee). Its description in RNAcentral is "retained intron". The record is from RNAcentral. Lineage: Eukaryota; Metazoa; Chordata; Mammalia; Primates; Hominidae.
AUGGCUGUGUUUCUGCAGCUGCUACCGCUGCUGCUCUCGAGGGCCCAAGGGAACCCUGGGGCUUCUCUGGACGGCCGCCCUGGGGACCGGGUGAAUCUCUCCUGCGUAGGAGUCUCUCAUCCCAUCCGCUGGGUCUGGGCGCCCAGCUUCCCGGCCUGCAAGGGCCUGUCCAAAGGACGCCGACCGAUCCUGUGGGCCUCUUCGAGCGGGACCCCCACCGUGCCUCCCCUCCAGCCUUUCUUCGGCCGCCUACGCUCCCUGGACUCUGGUAUCCGGCGGCUGGAGCUCCUCUUGAGCGCGGGGGACUCGGGCACUUUUUUCUGCAAGGGCCGCCACGAGGACGAGAGCCGUACAGUGCUUCACGUGCUGGGGGACAGGACCUAUUGCAAGGCCCCCGGGCCUACCCAUGGGUCCGUGUAUCCCCAGCUCCUGAUCCCGCUGCUGGGCGCUGGGUUGGUGCUCGGACUGGGAGCUUUGGGCCUGGUCUGGUGGCUGCACAGGCGCCUGCCCCCGCAACCGAUUCGACCACUCCCUAGAUUUGGUGAGACUAAUUCCACCCCAUUUUCUUUCUCCUACAUGCCCACUCCCCACCCCUCAAUUCCUGAGUCUGAGCCCUUGCUGGGAGCAGACACGUUGGUCACCUUCUCUCCAUCCUUCAGCUCUGUCCCCCCCACAUAGCUCCACUUGUGAAAACCGAGCCCCAGAGGCCAGUAAAGGAGGAAGAGCCCAAGAUUCCAGGGGACCUGGACCAGGAACCGAGCCUGCUCUAUGCGGAUCUGGACCAUCUAGCCCUCAGCAGGCCCCGCCGGCUGUCCACAGCGGACCCUGCUGAUGCCUCCACCAUCUAUGCAGUUGUAGUUUGA